GACGAACGCUGGCGGCGCGCUUAACACAUGCAAGUCGAGCGGUAAGGCCCUUUCGGGGGUACGACGAGCGGCGAACGGGUGAGUAACACGUGGGUGACCUGCCCUCAGCUCUGGGAUAAGCCUGGGAAACCGGGGUACUAAUACCGGAUAUGACUCCAUGACGCAUGUUGUGGGGUGGAAAGCCUUGUGCGGCUGAGGAUGGGCCUGCGGCCUAUCAGCUUGUUGGUGGGGGGAU
RNAcentral lists this ribosomal RNA (235 nucleotides) under uncultured bacterium. Its description in RNAcentral is "partial 16S ribosomal RNA". It matches the Rfam family "Bacterial small subunit ribosomal RNA", at positions 28 to 261 of the family's 1533-position model. The record is from RNAcentral.